This 321-nucleotide long non-coding RNA is filed under the name Setaria viridis. Its description in RNAcentral is "long non-coding RNA (SVIR_LNC007295)". Lineage: Eukaryota; Viridiplantae; Streptophyta; Magnoliopsida; Poales; Poaceae. The record is from RNAcentral.
CAAGUGGUCAAUUAGUUAAGAUCAUAUGCUUAUAUGUCCAAGUGAUCAUAGAAGUACUCGAAUAAACUGUAGUUGUUCAAAAUCAAAACUCCAAAUUUGCAGACUUAAUUUCAAUUGUGGCUUAUCUUCUUUACUAGGUCUGAUGCUACUAUAAUGGGAUUGUGUAAGACUUUUAAGUGCUAGUAGAAUUAUUCAUAAACACAUUCACUUGGAAAGUAGAAUUGGACUUUCAUGCCAACCCACAACAGAUAUGUGGUCUUCCAAUCAUCCCUUUCUGUCAUGAUGUAUCCGAUGUUAGAUUGUUUGAUAUCUUCCAAUGUG